UCCCACCCGCAAUUCUCAGUGAGGUUUGACCCUGUCAAUAUUCCGUUCCGUCCCGCCCCCGUUCCCCUUCCCCCCUGUACCGCAGAGCCCCGAGCGCGACCCCGUCAUCCCCGGCAGAGGCCCGGGGCUCCCCGACACCGCCGCGACCGGCCCCAGAAACACCUGGAAGCGAGUCUGCCAUGGAGCUCAGUGUCAGCGUGCUUCCCCUUAACUGUGAUGCCUGAAGAGUCACCACCGCACCAGCGUCCAUCCAUCCGUCCAUCGGGGAAGGGUCAUCUCCUGCUGCUGCCCUUGAUGUGGCAGGUGUCCGAGUAGCCAACAGCCUACUCCUCUGCUUUUUCCUUCAGGGAUAGGAUUCAUCUCAGAGAUGAGAGGAAAAUGCCUGAUCUCACCUGUCUGCACUUCUGCCCUACCCCAGACUAGAGCCCUGCAAGACACCUCCACAGCUCUCAGCUCACCUGUCACAUUGCCAGUCUCAGUGUGAUCGGCCUGCACCAUAUCAAAUCCAGAGCUCAGGUCAGCGCACAGAGCUGAACGCUGGAUACAGGGGAAGGUUACAAAGCCCAAAGAAGGGUUUGCAGCCUGCUGCUUAGGCUUCAGGGCUUACAGUUUAUUAUCUAAGGAUUUAGCCCUUUUCGUUUCUCAGUGAGCCAUAAGCCCUGAACCCUAAACUCAACGCAUCCUUUGUCUGGAAAUGACGGCGGGGAGGGGGGCAGGGUUGUCGACAGCCCAACAUAGCCCCUCGGGAAGCACUAAUCAACAAAAUGGGUUGAGCUGUAGACAUAGGGAAGACACCAGUUUGCAUAAAGGCAGACCUGACAGAAAAGUGGGCUCGAUGCCAGCAUCACGAUCACAAGUCAAGCUGCACCACGCGGCAGCCCUGGCUGCACGCAGGCAGACAAGAGGCAGUAACUGCAGACUGUGCUGAUGAGUAGGACAGACAGCAGCAGCAGCUCCAGACCGCCCUACCGCAAGCACCUGUCCUAACGCCCGAGGACUCGGAGCCUCUGCUGCUCUCUGCCUCCGUGACACCCUUCCCGGGAGCCUCUUCGCUGUCGACUACAUACCCCAUGCCAUCUCUAGCUCACUAGUGCUCCCCCGCUGCACGCCCACAGCCCCGUGCCUCCGCAGGCAGAGUCCCCGCGGAGGUGUCUGACGUGACCCAAACCAGGCCGACUGAUGGCACCCUCUGGGCGCUGCUGAUCACCAGCUCUGCUGAGCACCAACUGCCUCUCGGCACCCGCCACACCAGCCCAAACACACAGCAAUGACAGACCUCCAACUGGACACGGGGACAGGGAACAGAACAGAAGAAAAGAGGGUCAGAGAGCUUGGCAGAGGGAUGGAGAAAGAAAGAGGAUAGAGACCUGGCCCCAGGGUCAGGGUGCUAGACAAAGGAAUAGAAAGAGAGGGAGAGAAGGCCACACAGAUGGAGGCUGCACAGAGGACCAGGGAGCAGAAGAGAGAAAAAGAGGGAAGGGGAGGCGGGCAGAAGAAUAGAGAGGGGCAAGGAGGGAAGGGGAGGCGGGGAGAGGGACAGAGAGCAAAAGAGAAGGGGGGAGAACUGGACAGAGGAACGGGGACGGGAAGAGAGGGACAGGGAGCCGGUCAGAGCGAUGGGAAGAGAAUGAGAAGGAUGACAAGCUGGCCAGAAAGGUGGGGAGAGAAAAAGAGGGAGGAAGUCAGACAGAUGGGACAAAACAGGGGAAAGGAGGGACAGGGAGGCAAAUAGAUGGAUGAGGAGCUGAGCAGAGGGACGGAAAUAGAAAGAGAAGGCCGGAGAGGUGGACAGAGGGCUGGGAAGGCAAAGAGAAGUACAGAGAGGCAGACGAGAGCAGCAGAGGGACAGGGAGCUGGACAGAGGGAGAGCGGGCAGGUAGUGGGAUAGGGAGAGGAAGAGGACGAUGAAGAGCUGGAUAGAGCGACAGGGAGCCAGUUAGAGGGAUGUAGAUAUUGACAGAGGGAUGGAAAGAGUACAGAGGGAUGGCGAGCUGGGCACAGGAAUGAGUAGCUAAACAAAGGGAUGGGGCACCGGAUGGAGCCACGGGGAAAGAAAGAGAAGAAUGGAGCACUGGACAGAGGGACAGGGAGUGGAACUGGAUGGAUCCAGACAGCCUGGAACAGCCCUUGCCAUGCUCCAACCCCAUUCACCUGCUGAACAGAGCUCUCUGCACGCCGCUGUGCCCAAAGUCCGCUUGUGGGCCUGCUUACCUGUUUCCCUACAGCUCCAGGGCGUCUGUAUCUGCAAGAGCGAGAAUGCACCCACAGGCCCAGGCUGGGGAGGAACCCUGUGUUCAGUCACGGUAUUUCACUAUUCCUCCUGCAUUUUACUGUUCCUCUUGCAUAGCCCCUUUCAGAUGCUUAACCCCAAAUGCCCUCAGCAGGGGGGACCCCAGUGCAGCAUGCACUACAUUGGCAUCCAGUAGUGCCAGUGGUGCAUCCGAGCAAGUUUUGGCGAUGCCUGGCCAGGCCUUGCUGUUACCCAUAAUGGAAUCUAACAUUAUCUGCAUUAACUGAGAAUAAAUUGCAGUCAAGGGCUA
Long non-coding RNA from Dromaius novaehollandiae (emu), 2540 nucleotides. RefSeq lists it as uncharacterized. The transcript has 2 exons. The record is from RefSeq and is a predicted model, not a curated record. NCBI's taxonomy places the organism in Eukaryota, Metazoa, Chordata, Aves, Casuariiformes, Dromaiidae.